UUGCGCAAUGGAGUAUUUAUUUUGCUACUGAGCUGUGUAGGUAGUGGAGUUGGAUUAAAAUACUGCUAAAUGGAGUUUGAAUUGGUCAUAGAGAGAAUUGAGGAGGGAUAUUUGGAGAGAUUUGAGGAGAGAAUAUUGGGAUUUGGGGAGGUUGUUGUUGUGGAGUGAUAAUAGUAGAAAAUUAAGGGAUUUGGAGGUUAUCAAUUGGGAUUUUUUUUUUCUUUUCAAUUCUUUUUAGUUCUUUUCCAAAAUUGUAGACGUUUCAAUUCUCCCAAUCCCCUGCCGAUUUCUUUUUGCUGAUUUUCCUUUCUCUUUUCCUCUCUUUCGUCUUUGGCACUUUCCGAUUCAGU
Molecule: long non-coding RNA, 350 nt
Filed under: Gossypium raimondii (Peruvian cotton)
Lineage: Eukaryota; Viridiplantae; Streptophyta; Magnoliopsida; Malvales; Malvaceae
Description: long non-coding RNA (GRAI_LNC001410)
Source: RNAcentral